GCACGAAACCUGGCUUUUAUCGCCAAAUCUUUCAGCUUAGGGAACCACUACGGUAUGUUAACUCGAUUUGCAAAAUAUUGUAUUUAGGGUUUACUCACAGGAGUACCAAGUCCUGUUGCUGGAUCCCAUCCUCUCAAGGCUGGGAACCCACUUGUGUUGCACCCCCUAUUGGAUCCCCAGGUGAUGUCAGUAAAUGCAUCACGGGCAUCGGAAUAGAGCCACGGAUUCAAGAAACCUAGUGGCGGGUGCCCUUUGUCAAGUAAAGCAUCAUUGACGAGUGCGAUUAUGGCAGCAACUGUUGGAGCUGAAGCACUGGUUCCAUCCUGGAGAUGGGCUUGACCAUUCCAAAGCACCGAGAAGUGAUAACCAAGUGCGGCAAGAUCAGGGUAUCCACGGCCUUUCCGAUUGAAAAGCCCUUGAUGUUCAUUUCCAAGAGUGUCCAGGUAAUUCUCAACUGCCUGGGUUUGAUAUCG
RNAcentral lists this small RNA (473 nucleotides) under Histoplasma capsulatum var. duboisii H88. Its description in RNAcentral is "Histoplasma capsulatum H88 hypothetical RNA". The record is from RNAcentral. Lineage: Eukaryota; Fungi; Ascomycota; Eurotiomycetes; Onygenales; Ajellomycetaceae.